UAGGGAAUCUUCGGCAAUGGACGAAAGUCUGACCGAGCAACGCCGCGUGAGUGAAGAAGGUUUUCGGAUCGUAAAACUCUGUUGGUAGAGAAGAACGUUGGUGAGAGUGGAAAGCUCAUCAAGUGACGGUAACUACCCAGAAAGGGACGGCUAACUACGUGCCAGCAGCCGCGGUAAUACGUAGGUACCGAGCGUUGUCCGGAUUUAUUGGGCGUAAAGCGAGCGCAGGUGGUUUAUUAAGUCUGGUGUAAAAGGCAGUGGCUCAACCAUUGUAUGCAUUGGAAACUUGUAGACUUGAGUGCAGGAGAGGAGAGUGGAAUUCCAUGUGUAGCGGUGAAAUGCGUAGAUAUAUGGAGGAACACCGGUGGCGAAAGCGGCUCUCUGGCCUGUAACUGACACUGAGGCUCGAAAGCGUGGGGAGCAAACA
This 427-nucleotide ribosomal RNA is filed under the name uncultured bacterium. Its description in RNAcentral is "partial 16S ribosomal RNA". It matches the Rfam family "Bacterial small subunit ribosomal RNA", at positions 355 to 774 of the family's 1533-position model. The record is from RNAcentral.